UUUCAAAGUAACAACCAGCAACAACUUAAAAAUAUGAUGUUGAAAUGAUCAUUAUUGUGUUGGACUGACAUGCCAGAUCUAGUUAUGAACGUCAGUUGUGCUUGGAACAUUUCAACAGACGUCGUCUUGAUCUUUCUCCUCUGGAAAGGCCAUGUGGCAGGUAUAUAGGUGUUCAGACGUUCCUGAGUACUGGACAGACCAUAUUUUCCAGAAUACAUUGACAAGGAAAACGCCAAGGAGUGUGGAGAUGCAUCUCAGAUCUACCUGUCUGUCUCUUUCUUCCUCACCUGUCUCACUGCCUCCUUCACCUGUCUCAAGACCUCCACGCUGGUUUUCCGAUGACAGACAGACAGCUACCUAGCCUAAACCCCGCCCCCUUCUGAAUCGGUAUCUCCCUGGAAUGUUCCAGAAUGCCUGAACUUAGCGCCUGCUGCUGUUUGCGUCAUCUUUAUCAAUCAAUAUGACUAUAAUUUAAGUAAUUAUAUUGAUAAUCUUGGCUGAUGGACU
This is a long non-coding RNA of Oncorhynchus keta (chum salmon), 507 nucleotides long. RefSeq lists it as uncharacterized. The transcript is spliced from 3 exons. NCBI's taxonomy places the organism in Eukaryota, Metazoa, Chordata, Actinopteri, Salmoniformes, Salmonidae. The record is from RefSeq and is a predicted model, not a curated record.